This 436-nucleotide ribosomal RNA is filed under the name Streptomyces sp. Its description in RNAcentral is "bacterial SSU rRNA". It matches the Rfam family "Bacterial small subunit ribosomal RNA", at positions 10 to 451 of the family's 1533-position model. The record is from RNAcentral. Lineage: Bacteria; Bacillati; Actinomycetota; Actinomycetes; Kitasatosporales; Streptomycetaceae.
AGUUUGAUCAUGGCUCAGGACGAACGCUGGCGGCGUGCUUAACACAUGCAAGUCGAACGGUGAAGCCCUUCGGGGUGGAUCAGUGGCGAACGGGUGAGUAACACGUGGGCAAUCUGCCCUGCACUCUGGGACAAGCCCUGGAAACGGGGUCUAAUACCGGAUAUGACCUUCCUCCGCAUGGGGGUUGGUGUAAAGCUCCGGCGGUGCAGGAUGAGCCCGCGGCCUAUCAGCUUGUUGGUGGGGUAAUGGCCUACCAAGGCGACGACGGGUAGCCGGCCUGAGAGGGCGACCGGCCACACUGGGACUGAGACACGGCCCAGACUCCUACGGGAGGCAGCAGUGGGGAAUAUUGCACAAUGGGCGAAAGCCUGAUGCAGCGACGCCGCGUGAGGGAUGACGGCCUUCGGGUUGUAAACCUCUUCAGCAGGGAAGAAGC